RNAcentral lists this transfer RNA (97 nucleotides) under Nannocystis exedens. Its description in RNAcentral is "tRNA-Gly". Lineage: Bacteria; Pseudomonadati; Myxococcota; Nannocystales; Nannocystaceae. The record is from RNAcentral.
CGGCGCGCUCGCUGGGGACGCUGCGGCCGGACCUGCCGCGCCCGCUGAUCGAGCUGGUCGACCGGGCGCUGGCGUUCGAGCCGAUGGCGCGCUGGCC